UGGAAUUUAGACACCCUGCCACUUGACACUUC
Molecule: non-coding RNA, 32 nt
Filed under: Mus musculus (house mouse)
Lineage: Eukaryota; Metazoa; Chordata; Mammalia; Rodentia; Muridae
Source: RNAcentral